RNAcentral lists this ribosomal RNA (835 nucleotides) under uncultured microorganism. Its description in RNAcentral is "bacterial SSU rRNA". It matches the Rfam family "Bacterial small subunit ribosomal RNA", at positions 8 to 818 of the family's 1533-position model. The record is from RNAcentral.
AGAGUUUGAUCWUGGCUCAGGACGAACGCUGGCGGCGUGCCUAAUACAUGCAAGUCGAACGCAAAACUUUUAACUGAUGCUUGCAUCGAYCUAAAGUUUUGAGUGGCGGACGGGUGAGUAACACGUGGGUAACCUGCCCAUCAGAGGGGGACAACACUUGGAAACAGGUGCUAAUACCGCAUAAUAYAGAGAACCGCAUGGUUCUCUGUUGAAAGGCGCUUCUGGUGUCGCUGAUGGAUGGACCCGCGGUGCAUUAGCUAGACGGUGAGGUAACGGCUCACCGUGGCGAUGAUGCAUAGCCGACCUGAGAGGGUGAUCGGCCACAUUGGGACUGAGACACGGCCCAAACUCCUACGGGAGGCAGCAGUAGGGAAUCUUCGGCAAUGGACGAAAGUCUGACCGAGCAACGCCGCGUGAGUGAAGAAGGUUUUCGGAUCGUAAAACUCUGUUGUUAGAGAAGAACAGGAGCGAUAGUAACUGCUCGCUCUUUGACGGUAUCUAACCAGAAAGCCACGGCUAACUACGUGCCAGCAGCCGCGGUAAUACGUAGGUGGCAAGCGUUGUCCGGAUUUAUUGGGCGUAAAGCGAGCGCAGGCGGUCUUUUAAGUCUGAUGUGAAAGCCCACGGCUUAACCGUGGAGGGUCAUUGGAAACUGGGAGACUUGAGUGCAGAAGAGGAAAGUGGAACUCCAUGUGUAGCGGUGGAAUGCGUAGAUAUAUGGAAGAACACCAGUGGCGAAGGCGGCUUUCUGGUCUGUAACUGACGCUGAGGCUCGAAAGCGUGGKSAGCAAACAGGAUAGAUACCUGGUAGUCACGCCUAACAUGAUGCUAAUGU